UGGGGAAUUUUGGACAAUGGGCGCAAGCCUGAUCCAGCCAUGCCGCGUGCGGGAAGAAGGCCUUCGGGUUGUAAACCGCUUUUGUCAGGGAAGAAAUCUUCUGAGUUAAUACCUCGGGAGGAUGACGGUACCUGAAGAAUAAGCACCGGCUAACUACGUGCCAGCAGCCGCGGUAAUACGUAGGGUGCAAGCGUUAAUCGGAAUUACUGGGCGUAAAGCGUGCGCAGGCGGUUUUGUAAGACAGAGGUGAAAUCCCCGGGCUCAACCUGGGAACUGCCUUUGUGACUGCAAGGCUUGAGUGCGGCAGAGGGGGAUGGAAUUCCGCGUGUAGCAGUGAAAUGCGUAGAUAUGCGGAGGAACACCGAUGGCGAAGGCAAUCCCCUGGGCCUGCACUGACGCUCAUGCACGAAAGCGUGGGGAGCAAACAGGAUUAGAUACCCCUGGUAGUCCACGCCCUAAACGAUGUCAACUGGUUGUUGGGAAGGUUCCUUCUCAGUAACGUAGCUAACGCGUGAAGUUGACCGCCUGGGGAGUACGGCCGCAAGGUUGAAACUCAAAUGAAUUGACGAGGUCAUAGCUG
This 580-nucleotide ribosomal RNA is filed under the name uncultured bacterium. RNAcentral describes it as "partial 16S ribosomal RNA". It matches the Rfam family "Bacterial small subunit ribosomal RNA", at positions 355 to 932 of the family's 1533-position model. The record is from RNAcentral.